GGGAAAUGUAAACAUAAAUUAAUAUAUAAACCCUAGCUAGGUAGGGAGUUGAGCAUCAUAAAAUAUGUAGCCUCAAAUUACAACUAGCAAUUAUUAAACUAGAAAAAAUAUAUUAGAAAGGAAAAGAAAAAGGGGAAACCAGAUGGUUUUAUACAUGAAAUUGAACAUACUAACCUUGACAGACAAGUCUGCAAAUUCCAUUGCUAGCUAGCAGAUGCAAAACCAAGUAUUGAAAGCAGCCUCCAUGAAUAUACAUCUUCAGUUUUCAGACCCUUCUUUUUUCUCAUGUCAAUGAAUUAAUGAGAAGAAAGAUCUCAUCUCCAUCAUACCCAUAAAUUUUUAUCAUACAAAAUGAUAUAUUCUGAUAAUAGUUUUCUAUUUAAAAUGGUGGCCUUGCACCACUCCCACCCCAUCCAAACAAAUCACCUGAAAACGGAUAAUUCCCCACAUUCCCUCCGAUGUUAAAAAAAGCACCUCCGCUGCCGCUCCCACUACCGCUGCCUCCUCCUACACCAUCACCCAGUUGCCCAGCCCCAACACUUCCUGUCACACCUGAAGAUUGUGAAGCCGUGGACUGAACUUGAACAUUUCCCUCCUCCUCAUCCAAAGGCAAUCGCUCAAACACAGCGUUUGCAAACGAUGCAGCCAUCAAAAUCACCGGCCCAGAAGCCACCAAGGGUCCUAUAACACUUCCUCCAACAACCUGCCCCUGUCCACCAGACAAGAAUAUAGACAACCCCCCUGCCCCAGGCGGCGCUGGUGGAGGAAGCACAGUUCCAGAGAGGGAAAGAAUCUCGAACCUACCGUGCAAAGUCACCACACUCCCUGCAGGAGACGCUGGUUGCUUCAGUGUAACGUUGGCAACUGUCCCGUUGCCGCUGAGUACACAGACUCCUCUUCCUCUCUUCCUCGCAUAAUUGGACACGCUCUCCAUGAUGUCGCUGCCAGCGGAAACCUCCAGCACGUGGGAUCGGAGGGCAUUGGGGCUGUCACGCGUUACAAUAAUCGGGGGCCUGGGUUUAUUCUUGGAGCCAGGAGGGCGGCCUCGAGGGCGGCGAUUGCUUCCAGAGCUGGUGGCGGCGGCGUCGGUGUCAGCAUCGUUGUGGUCUUUGGCUUGAGGUGAGGUGUUGUCCUUAGAAUCCGGGGAUAGUUGGCCAGGAAUUGAAGGUCUUUGAAGAUGCAGCUCGGGUCUGAGGAGUUGGUGAACAUAGCGAGAACCUGCACCUGUUGCUGUUGGCUGAUACGCCGCCAUCGCCACAUCUACUCUCUCCCACCACUUAUUUGCCAGCUUUCUCUUCUCAACCGAUCUGAUUCUCGUUUAAUUUAUGCUGUGAACAAGAAACUAAGCUUGCUUUCUAACAAUAGAGAGACCAACAAGAUCCACCGAAGAAUUGAACAAAAUCUUUCUAAUUAGCUCAAACUGGUUGAGCUUUCAAGAAAUAAAGUUGGAGAAAUUUUCUUUAAGAGAGGAUCCAGAAGCUGGAGAUUCGUUACUAAUCGUCGACCUCGACCACUUAACUUGAAUUAAUGCUCUCGUACAGGAAAAUACUGAAGAAGUUUCUCAAUUCAUACAUACCCACAAAAACACUAGUCCUGAAAUCAAGCUGACAAGGCUAUAACUCAUAAACAACAGCUUCCCCAUGGGGAAAAGCCCAUGAAACAAACCUCAGAGGAGUUAUUAAAGCUGAAGCUUAAAAUUCUUGUCAUGUUUAGCAGUUCUUGUGAACAAGUAAAUUAUCAUUUACAUCACAAACGGGAAUCAGAUCUUUCAAAGGAAAAGGGAAGAAAUUAACAGAUCAGAUUGAUGAUAUGGAUAUGCACUUACAGCAACCAAAAAAGAAUAUAAAGAAAUAUAUAUAUAUAAAUAUAUACUUCAAAAUGAAGAGAUACUUAAAGAUGAAGAGAGAAGAGAGACUUAUCAGUGAAAAUUGUGGGAUAGUUGAGCUGUGAAGAGAAAAAAGAAAAGAAAAGAGAAGCAGAAAGGAAUAUUGAAAACUGUUUAGGUUAACAAGAAUGAAGGAGUUUGGAUAGCGAGAAAGAAGAUUGAUCAGGGAAGAGAAAGACAUGAUAAUAAGAGAGUUUUCGAGGGGAAAAUGGUGGAAAAGCGUGCGGUAAAAGCAGAAUCCAAGCAAUUUCCUUGAAAACAAGGGCCUUCGCUCUUUUGACCUCAUUUGCC
RNAcentral lists this unclassified non-coding RNA (2176 nucleotides) under Hevea brasiliensis (rubber tree). The record is from RNAcentral. Lineage: Eukaryota; Viridiplantae; Streptophyta; Magnoliopsida; Malpighiales; Euphorbiaceae.